UGUGACGCUGUCAUGCACACGGCACACAACUUCAUGAGGGGAGGGAGGGGCUGGAGGCAGCUCCUCUGUGUGCACUGUAAAAAAUACACCAUUGUGUGUCU
This is a long non-coding RNA of Sander lucioperca (pikeperch), 101 nucleotides long. RefSeq lists it as uncharacterized. NCBI's taxonomy places the organism in Eukaryota, Metazoa, Chordata, Actinopteri, Perciformes, Percidae. The record is from RefSeq and is a predicted model, not a curated record. The transcript has 3 exons.